CCUACGGGAGGCAGCAGUGAGGAAUAUUGGUCAAUGGGCGUAAGCCUGAACCAGCCAAGUCGCGUGAAGGAAGACUGACCUAUGGUUUGUAAACUUCUUUUAUAGGGGAAUAAAGGUAUCCACGUGUGUCUAUUUGCAUGUACCCUAUGAAUAAGGAUCGGCUAACUCCGUGCCAGCAGCCGCGGUAAUACGGAGGAUGCGAGCGUUAUCCGGAUUUAUUGGGUUUAAAGGGUGCGUAGGUUGGUUUUUAAGUCAGCGGUGAAAGUUUGUGGCUCAACCAUAAAAUUGCCGUUGAAACUGGAAGACUUGAGUGCGGUUGAGGUAGGCGGAAUGCGUGGUGUAGCGGUGAAAUGCAUAGAUAUCACGCAGAACUCCGAUUGCGAAGGCAGCUUACUAAGCCAUAACUGACACUGAAGCACGAAAGCGUGGGGAUCAAACAGGAUUAGAUACCCCGGUAGUC
This 460-nucleotide ribosomal RNA is filed under the name uncultured bacterium. Its description in RNAcentral is "partial 16S ribosomal RNA". It matches the Rfam family "Bacterial small subunit ribosomal RNA", at positions 338 to 795 of the family's 1533-position model. The record is from RNAcentral.